ACAAACAAACAAGCCAUAAGGACAACACAUCAAUUUCAUGUACAGGUUAUGUCCGGAUGGUAAUGAAGGUUUGGCCUCUUCUUCUAGGUAGAAGCACUGAAGGGAUACAUGGAAGAUAUUGUAAGCAGCGUCUGCCUGCCAAAUGUCAACAAGAUAAUGGCUGACAAUAAGAUGGUUCUCCCCAACAUGAUGGGGGCGACCUAUUCUGAGUGUGAAACGUCCAUCACGAGCGUCAAGGAUGCUCUGGCCUUCGAUGUGACUCCCAAGGAUUUGCCUAUGGACCUUGUUGCUCUGGCAGACAAAUUCAGCCAUAUCCAGAAAAAACACCACUAUUGAGACAGGGAAGCAAGAGGCCACGCUCGGUGCACCUGCCCCUCAGCUUUGCUGCUCAAACACUGGAAUCCUGCCCAAACUAAGGAAAAAAAACAGCACCUGCACCAGGCUAGAAGCCGGGGUCUGCCUCACAGGGGCCCUGAACACCACUUGAGCUUUCCUUACUUACCUGAGAAAAGGGGGCCCCUCGGGGUCCCUUCAAUCGUUACCGCCUGGCAACAGAUUUGGCUGUUU
RNAcentral lists this long non-coding RNA (567 nucleotides) under Pogona vitticeps (central bearded dragon). Its description in RNAcentral is "lncRNA (ENSPVIG00000012191.1)". The record is from RNAcentral. Lineage: Eukaryota; Metazoa; Chordata; Lepidosauria; Squamata; Agamidae.